Molecule: ribosomal RNA, 504 nt
Filed under: uncultured bacterium
Lineage: Bacteria
Description: partial 16S ribosomal RNA
Rfam family: Bacterial small subunit ribosomal RNA
Source: RNAcentral
AUUGAACGCUGGCGGCAGGCCUAACACAUGCAAGUCGAACGGUAGCACAGAGAGCUUGCUCUCGGGUGACGAGUGGCGGACGGGUGAGUAAUGUCUGGGAAACUGCCCGAUGGAGGGGGAUAACUACUGGAAACGGUAGCUAAUACCGCAUAACGUCGCAAGACCAAAGUGGGGGACCUUCGGGCCUCACACCAUCGGAUGUGCCCAGAUGGGAUUAGCUAGUAGGUGGGGUAAUGGCUCACCUAGGCGACGAUCCCUAGCGGGUCUGAGAGGAUGACCAGCCACGCUGGAACUGAGACACGGUCCAGACUCCUACGGGAGGCAGCAGUGGGGAAUAUUGCACAAUGGGCGCAAGCCUGAUGCAGCCAUGCCGCGUGUAUGAAGAAGGCCUUCGGGUUGUAAAGUACUUUCAGCGGGGAGGAAGGCGGUGAAGUUAAUAACUUCACCGAUUGACGUUACCCGCAGAAGAAGCACCGGCUAACUCCGUGCCAGCCACCGCCGUAA